Cotesia glomerata is the source of this 633-nucleotide long non-coding RNA. RefSeq lists it as uncharacterized. NCBI's taxonomy places the organism in Eukaryota, Metazoa, Arthropoda, Insecta, Hymenoptera, Braconidae. The record is from RefSeq and is a predicted model, not a curated record. The transcript has 4 exons.
UUAUGUUUUUCUAGGAACCUGUCAACCAUAACGAUCUUUUAUUAGCUGCAAAUGGAGAAUGUGAAUAUUUAAACAAUUCAUCAAACGUUACACGGCAGAACCAGUACUAUCGUUCUCUAUCCCCUGACGAAAAAAAAAUAGUAACUCAUUACGAUGUUAGUGAAUAUUUAGCAUGUUUCAUAAAAAAACUGAAUUUGUUCACGCUUCAGGAUUACAAAGUUUAUAUGGAUGUAGUUCUUCAUUGUUUAGAGAUGAAUGGCUCAAAUUUAACGGUAACGGAUCCAGUGCAUCGCAGCAAUGUUUGUAUUCUGAAAGAUUUGAAUACCAUAAAAUCAGAUAACUCAAUAGACGCGGAUCUUCUCAAAAAAUACCUGGCAAUUUUCAUAACAGUGACGGAUGAACUUUUCGAUAUUAAUGAAGCAUUGAAAUACUUUAAUAACUGCGUUAACGAAAAGGGCAGCAGCGCUGAAGACACAAUCUCAAAAUUCUUGCAAUGCAUUGACCGAAACCGAAAUACCAUAGCGUAGAAACUGGUCGAUCUACAAGUUAUAAAUCUGAAAUAUUUACAAAAUUUUAAACAUCAUGAAUAAUAUUCACGGACUAUGUAAAAUUAUAAAUAAAUAAUCUCAACAA